GGCCUGAAGCUCCUCGGUGUGGAGCGUGCACAGGGCUGACAAUGUGGGGAUUCGGCUGAUCAGCUGCCAGACAAAGAGGGAGAAACGGUCAAAGGAAGGAAAUCAGAAUUCUUAUCAUUUGCAGUCGACUCACCUGACUUGAGAAGGAGGAUCUGGUCAUUCUGGCACAGUUCCAUGAACCCUGAGAUGCGCUUGGCGAACUCCACCACGUACUGGAUUGCAUGGGUGAUCUGGAUGGCACACUGCUGCCACAGCACGUCCCGGGGCUACGACCAAACACACCCAGUUCAGGGAUAAAUGCUCUGAAUUGAUGCAGUUAUUGUCAUACCAGCAGGUGACACAGAGUCACAUUUCAUUACUGUGUCGCAGCAUAAAAGCUCACCUUGCUCUGGUACAUUUUGACCUCUUCAUAGGAAUGUGUCUGCCAGGCGAGCUGCUGCAGCUCGUCUGUUGUGUACUGACAUGUCUCCAAGUGGGACUUGAUGAUAUUCUGAGCAAUACGAUCUGGAAGAGAGGA
Acanthochromis polyacanthus (spiny chromis) is the source of this 517-nucleotide long non-coding RNA. RefSeq lists it as uncharacterized. Lineage: Eukaryota; Metazoa; Chordata; Actinopteri; Pomacentridae. The transcript is spliced from 2 exons. The record is from RefSeq and is a predicted model, not a curated record.